CUAAAGGGGAAGUAGGUAGGUCUAGAUGGUGAGUGGGAAUGGCCUAUUACAGCUCUAAGGCAGGGAGUUCAGGUAUGGAUACAGCUGGGGGCUAAUGGGAGGGGCAGAGGACCUGAGGUGGGGGAAAUACUAACAAAAAGUUUUAAUAGAACAAA
Molecule: long non-coding RNA, 155 nt
Organism: Perognathus longimembris pacificus (Pacific pocket mouse)
Lineage: Eukaryota; Metazoa; Chordata; Mammalia; Rodentia; Heteromyidae
Exons: 3
Source: RefSeq, a predicted model, not a curated record